GCUAUGUAGUUUAAUAUUAAAAUUUUUGUUUGUGGUGCAAGAGAUUUUAUAGCUA
Molecule: transfer RNA, 55 nt
Filed under: Triodontophorus brevicauda
Lineage: Eukaryota; Metazoa; Nematoda; Chromadorea; Rhabditida; Strongylidae
Description: tRNA-His
Source: RNAcentral